This 3158-nucleotide long non-coding RNA is filed under the name Salvia miltiorrhiza (redroot sage). Its description in RNAcentral is "long non-coding RNA (SMIL_LNC002128)". Lineage: Eukaryota; Viridiplantae; Streptophyta; Magnoliopsida; Lamiales; Lamiaceae. The record is from RNAcentral.
AGGGGCGGGGCUAACCCACGGAAGGCCCGGUGCAGAAUUUAAAAUUGGGCCCUUUUCUAUAGCUAAAAAUAUAUCAAAAAUAUAAAACAAAAAUAUAUAUUUGAACGAUAGUUUUUUUUUAAAAUCAAAUUACACAAUAAGCAUGUAAAAACUAAGACAUUCACUUGAAAAGUGUUGCCCUCCUUGUAAAUUUUGAAACAAAAUCACUAAUAACACUUUCAUCAUCAAUUUCUUCCGAAAGAUCACAUUCGAUCGCCAUCAAAGCAAGGCCAUUUAGUCUUUCCUGCGACAUAGUUGUCCGUAAGUGUGAUUUAAGCAACUUCAACUUUGAAAAGCUUCUUUCUGCUGAAGCAACAGUAACAGGAACCGUAAGUAAGAUUCUAUAAGCAAUCAUUACAUUUGGAAAACAAUUAAAUCGUUUCAAAAAUAUUGAUAAAUCCCUUGCUCCCAUUUUUUCUUUAGGCAACAUCUCUCUAAACAAUUUUAACUCAAUAUAUAGAUCAUGUCCAUGAAUAUCUGAUACCUCACCUUUUCUAAGUGCAUCUUCAAAGUGACUACAACAAGAUUGAAGUUUAAUAUCAUCAAGUGAUCGGAGCUUCUCAGAAUCGAACAAAAAACCAAAAAUAUUCUCAUAUAACUCAUAUUGUUCAAACCUCUUAUCUAAUGAUGCAAUUGCUUGAUCUACAAUGUAUAAAAAGUAUUGAAUUCUAAAUUCUUCCUCUAAAGAUAGUGAUGUUUCCUCACCAACCAUCUCAUCAAAUUGUCUUUUUCUACGUAUUAUACGUCUUUGAGGAAAUAUAGGGUCAGUUCCUAAUUCAUUUGCUAAUUGUUUCGCAGUUUCCAUAGCACUUGAAAAUCCAGUUUCUCUAUAACUUUUAAAAAAAGAAGCCAAACCCUUUAUCUCGCUCAUGGCAGUAUCAAUCAACAUGUCUUUUGACUGUAAAUGUUUGCUAACCAAGUUCACAACAUAUAAAAUUUCAUACCAAAUAGUUAUAGCAAGCAAAAAUUCAAAAUUACCAAGCUCAUUAACAGCUAGGGAUUUCGCUUCACUUUGUAUUUUAGUAUCGUUAUCAAUAGCAGCUACUUCAAGUACGGCUUCUCGUAUUUCAACAAUUUGGAAUCUAAUAGCCUUAACACUUUCAACACGACUUUCCCAUCGUGUGGCCGACAAUGAUUUAAGAGUAAGACCUUUCACAUGUUCUUUUAAAAUAUGCCACCUCUUUGUAGAAUUAGCAAAUAAAGUAUAAAUACGUUGGACUAUUCCAAAAAAAUCUCUUGCUUUCGUACAAGUGUUUCCAAUGUCACACAAAACUAAAUUAAGACUAUGACAACCACAUGGAGUAUAAAAAGCCCUAGGAUUCAAAUCUAAUAGUCUUUUCUGCACACCUUGAUUUUUACCUUUCAUGUUAGCUCCAUUAUCAUAUCCUUGACCUCUAACAUAUUAUCAAUAUCAAGAUCAUGAGAUUUCAAAACAUUUUCUAACACUUGAAAAAGCCCUUGACCAGUCGUAUCAUCAACUUGCAAGAAUUCAACAAAAUAUUCUCUUAUUUCAAAAGAGCUAUCAACACACCUUAGAAUUAAGGUCAUCUGCUCAUCAUGACUAGCAUCAGGCGUACAAUCCAACAUUAAAGAGAAAUACUUUGCAUCUUUUAUGGUUUUUAUAAUAACAGAUCUUAUUCUAGAAGAAAUUAAGAGUAUCAAUUCAUUUUGAAUAUCAUGGCUCAAAUAAUGAUGAUGAAUCUUUCCACUUUCAAUACGCUGAACAUGCUCUUUCAUCACAGGAUCAAUCUUGGCCAACAUCUCAAUUAAACCCAAAAAAUUGCCAUUCCUAGUUUUAUAUAGCUUUUCAUUUUUUCCGCGAAAUGCUAGGUUAUGUUUUGCAAGAUUCUUCACAAUAAUAAUAAUUCUAGUUAUAACAUCUUUCCAGUAUUCCUUCUCUUUUUUAAGUAAUUCUUGAGCAACUUUAUCAAUUGUUUCAUUUUGUGGCAAUCUAUAUCGAAGGUCACACCAAGUAGUCAUAUUCAAUACAUGAUCAACACUUGUUUCAUGUUCUUUAAGUCUAGUACUAAGGUGAGUCCAAUCAUUAAAGCCUUCAUUUGUUAAUUGACCUUUUCCAUGACCUUUUUUGAAUAUUUUACAGCAAAAACAAAAAACUUUAUCAAGCUCCUUUGAGUAAACAAGCCACUCUCUAUCACAAGUUUCACCAUUAGACAAAUAUCUAGUAUAAAAAGUUGAAGAGAAUCUUCUAGAAUAUUUAUCUUUAGGGCCAUUCACUAUAGUUAAGUCUCUUUUUGGACCAUUUACUACCAAAACAUCAAUCAAAUUUGAAUCAAGACCAUCCCAUUUUCUUGGAUCAUAUAUGUCAACUAAAAUAGAAUCAUUUUGUGUAACAUUAGUAUUGUCAUUCUCACCACCAGAAAUAUCAUCCAGAUCAUUUGAAUUAUUUGUAAUAUCCUUGUUAACAUCAUCAAUAGUAUUUUUUAAAAUUUCAGCAUUCUCACAAUCAACAACAAUUUCAUCUAACUCAUUAGAAGUACCAGAUUUUUCACCUACUUGAGGUUUUUUUGUCAAAAACUUAUGAAAAGCACCCCUUUGAGAUUCGAUGAAUUCAAUUUCUUUCUUUUUUUUACAACGCUUUUCAUAUCCUGAUUUAGACUUUCGAGUCAUAUUAACUAUUAAGCACAAUCAAAGUAAGUAAAAUUAACUAUAUAAUGUAAAAAAAAAUAGAAAGGAAUGAUAGAACCAGGCUCCAAUGAUCUCGAUGAAUUGAUGAUUUCAGAUUUCUUCUCUAAUCUCUUGCUCUAUAAAUGAAUUUGAAUUUCCACUGAGUCAUAGACUAACAUCCCAACCUACAUAAAAAAUAAAAAUUAUUGAAAAUAAUUAUUAACUAAAUUAUUAAAAUAUAAUUACAAAUUUCACACAAAAGAUUUACCUAAUUACCUUGCUUGUUGUCUGUUGAAUGUUGAUUGUUAUUUGUUAAACACUGCAGUAUAGAGAAUUGGAGAAUGGAGAUAAUGAGUUUUAGACUUGAGAGAGAUAGUAGAAGAGAAAAUAGAAUUGGAGAAAAUUGAGAACUGAGAAAGAGACGUUUGGUUUGAUCCUUCUUUAUAAUUUAGAGAGGUGGAAUACCUAAAGUCUUCAUUUAUUUUUGGUUUUGC